GGCUGGCUCAGCUUUGGGAGUCCAUCGCAACCAAAGCACAGUUCCAAGGCUCCCCCAAAAUGAGAAAUUUUCGUGGAAAUGUCGGUCCGAUUCUUAACAGGUGCCCAUCAUAAGCAUUAAACGAGGCAAACUACAUCAUACUGCCAGCAGAUUCAGCGUCCAUCGCAUGCUCAAUGUCACAAUGAUCAGCACUCACAGUUGCUUCAGUUAUGCUAUAUGAUCCAUCAAGAUGAAGUCCACCUUCUUUACCAGUUGCUGCCCAGUACUUACAUGCAGCUUUAUCAGAUUACCUAUAGGGCUUAAUAUCAGAUAUUGACCCUGCCACAGCAAAACUUGCUAUCACAGUCACAGGCUCUUUGUUCUCGGCAUUUUGGGUUCUUAUUCAUUCUAAGGAUUGUCAUGUCUUGGUACCCCAAGCUCCUGGUGAAGCAAUUUCCUUAUGUUGUUGCUUAUGCACCUACAGAACCAUUUCUCAGCAUAACAAGGAAGGUGAUGCCUCCUCUUGCUGGAGUGGAUGUCACACCUGUUGUUUGGUUUGGACUGGUUAGUUUCUUGAGUGAAAUAUUUGUAGGACCUCAAAGGUUAUUAGUGCUUCUGUCUUGACAGGUCUAGCUUGUUGAUUUGUGUACAGUUCUAUUUUCUCAACAUUUCUUUUCCUCCUUGAUAACCAGUUGCCUAAUUGUGGUAUCACACGAACUGAUUAAUCAAACCUUUUAUCAUGCUGUUGCAUCAGAGAAAAGUCUGUUUUAAUUGAUCUCCAAUUGCUGAAUUCUAUGUCCCUGCAAGUGUUUACCAAAUGUUUGGAGAACAACAGAACACUUGGUAGUCAAGCAGGCUUUCUAAUCAAGAACUUGUAUGUAUCUGAUGCGGUAAUCCUGUGACUGAUUAACCAAACCUUUUAUCAUCCUGUUGCAUCAGAUAAAAGUCUGUUUUAAUUGAUCUCCAAUUGCUGAAUUCUAUGUCCCUGCAAGUGUUUACCAAAUGUUUGGAGAACAACAAAACACUUGGUAGUCAUGCAGGCUCUCUAAUCAAGAACUUGUAUGUAUCUGAUGCGGUAAUCCUGUGACUCAUGUACAGCUACAACUGACAUAAAUCUUCAGCACUUGUUGUGGAAGCUCCAUAAGAAUUUAGGAAAUUUUACUUGAAGUCAGCUCAGCUCAGUAGCAUGACUGUGUUCUUGAUGCUGGAGAUUAUUUGGGUUAAGCAGAUUGCUCAGGAAAAUAUAAAACUCCUUCAUUAGCAAGUACUUACUCUGUCACUCGCUUUCCAGAUCAUGAGGAUUCUAAACAGUUAAUUGCCCUUCAUUUGCCUGCCAUACAUUCCUCAUUAAUGUCAUUUUGGUGCUCUUGUUGCUACAAGAAAUACUCUGCUAGCCAUUGUGGCCAUGAAGAAAAGAAGAACCUUGAUGUACUUCCAAAGGAUUCAUUGUUACAAAACUCCAAUUAGCCUACAUGUUGAUAUAGAGAUUACAAGAUUAUUAUGGCCUCUUAACGUUUAUCCGAAAUUGCAUCAGUGAAGAAUUUUUUGUCUUCAUGGUUCAUAUUACCAUCCCAUCUGCCUUUUGAGUUUUGACAUCUAUGAUAUCUACAUUAUCUUCAAAGUAAAUGAUUGUAGUUGUUUUGCUUCUCUUUUCUUUUCAACCUAGCAAAACCUCAAAUUUGCAUUUCAAUUGGUUACCUAUUACAAUAAUGUGAUACUGAAUUAAGUAGAAUCUUCUUUUAAGCAGAGUGUUACACUGUAGGCUAUGAUUGUGGUUCAAAAUGCAGGUAAAUCCUGAGAAAGCAGAUAAUUUGAGAUACUUCAACCUCCAUGGCUCAUGAAUCAUAGUGCUUUGAACCAGAUCUGCUCUGUAGCAACCGUUGGAUUUAUCCACACCAGAAUGGUGCUAAGUUCUAGGCUUCUGCAGAUGCAUAUGGUUGCAUACAGAACUAUCUUGGACAGUAAUGUGGCCUUUAAACAUCAUUUAGGCUCUAAAAUUAGACUUCAGCCUCCAGUAGACGAUUUGUCCAUUACUGUAACACUUAAGUUUGUACUGACUGGAUAUUCUAGUAUCAAUAACUAAUUUAUGGAUAUUUUUAUUUAGGCAGUCACAUCUAUUUUCUUAUUCCCAGAAUUUAUAGUCAUCCAUGGCCAAAAAGUUGUCAGGUAAUAGCCAUAAUGGUAACCUAGUUGCAGUGUGCAGACAAAAGAUGGCUUUAGACAUCAGACAUCUUGAUGCUGUUUUUAGGUGAUUUAUUAUUUUAUCUUUGUAUCGGUUAGCAUUCUUCUUUUGGAGCUAAUAGGAAACUAUCAUGUUCAUGCUACCUACAAUCUUGAACAGACUAGUUAUUAGUAAUUUGGAUUUAAACAUAUCAGGUCACGCUGAUCGAAUCAGUUUGGUUUGAAAUGCUGGCCUGAUAGACCUGUACAGUCAGGUUCUAACAAUUGGUUUUUUGUUGCAGUCAAAGAAACUAGAUGAUGCUGAGGCCAUGGCAGCACAAGGUUUUGUGCCAAAUAUCAGAAAGAUCGGAUUUAUUUUCUGAUUAGAGAAUAAGCUUGUUGCUUGGUGGAUGCAACUACUUUCAAAUGCUGCUUCUUUUGGUGCAAACCAGUGGUCCCAUGGAAACAUACAUACUGUAUACCAAAUGACAUUUUUCUUUCUGCUGCAUCUGUUACCUCUUUGCUUCUUGGUCAUGUGAUACUGUCAAAAAUGUGCUGUCCUGAGAUGUUUGUAAUACUGAAUCAACUUUUGUUUCAGCAAAGAAUGUCUCCUGAUAAUGAUGUCUCAAGGAACCUGCACAUGCAUCUGAAAUUGAAACAAACUGUGACUGCAGUU
Long non-coding RNA from Musa acuminata AAA Group (dessert banana), 2815 nucleotides. RefSeq lists it as uncharacterized. The transcript is spliced from 3 exons. Lineage: Eukaryota; Viridiplantae; Streptophyta; Magnoliopsida; Zingiberales; Musaceae. The record is from RefSeq and is a predicted model, not a curated record.